UUUAUUGAAUCUCUGCUAAAGAGUUUUAUAUUAAUAGAGUUGGUUUUCCAACUAUGACGAUAAACGAAUUUCGUAAUAAACAUUACGGACGUGGGGGCAGUACCCACCACCUCCACCAUUUACAACUUAUGGGGGUGAAUUAGGAUCGACGAGUGUCUAAAGGCUAUUCUUUCGUACGAGAUGGUUCCGACGUAACGGGCCAAUUUACAAAUGCUAACGAAAGUUACGCACUUGCAGCUUAAUUAACUUUGUUAAUUAGGUAACGGGGUCCGGGGCACCUGGCAACAGAACGCCCCUUU
This 299-nucleotide transfer-messenger RNA is filed under the name Pelagibacterales bacterium SAG-MED28. It matches the Rfam family "Alphaproteobacteria transfer-messenger RNA". From Rfam's summary of the family: Bacterial tmRNA, also known as 10Sa RNA or SsrA, is named for its dual tRNA and mRNA-like properties. Lineage: Bacteria; Pseudomonadati; Pseudomonadota; Alphaproteobacteria; Candidatus Pelagibacterales. The record is from RNAcentral.